Molecule: long non-coding RNA, 1752 nt
Organism: Octopus bimaculoides (California two-spot octopus)
Lineage: Eukaryota; Metazoa; Mollusca; Cephalopoda; Octopoda; Octopodidae
Source: RefSeq, a predicted model, not a curated record
UUUGUUUCUCCCCUUCACAGUUCUCUGUCUGUCACUCUCUCUUCCUCACUCUUCCUCUCUUGCUCACGUGGUUUCCACGUGACCAUCGGCCAGGGUUUAUUUCUGAAGUCCUAGUAAUUAUUCUACCGGUCUCUUUGCCAAACCACUAAGUUACGGGACGUAAACACACGAACACCGUUUGUCGAGCAAUGAUGGGGAAAAACACAGACACAAACAGACACACACACACACACACACACACACACACACACACACACACACACACACACACGACGGGCUUCUUUCAGUUUCCAUCCACCAAAUCCACUCACAAGCCUUUCGUAGGCCCGAGGCUAUAGUAGAAGAAACUUACCGAAAGUGCCACGUAAUGGGACUAAAUCCAGAACCAUGUGGUUGGGAAGCACUAUAUAUAUAUAUAUACAUAUAUAUAUACGUAGGUAGCUACGUAGAUGUAGGUAUAUAUAUACCGUUCUGAACAAAUAUUUAUUGAAGACACAUACAUUAUACCCAGGGCUGUGAUCUCUGAUCGUAGACAUCAGGCCCGAUGCUUGCAACAGAAUGAAUUCCUCUGUUAAAGGAACACAAUAGCCAAGUGGUGUUCUUAAACUAGGUGGCGGGUUAGUCUACCAUCUAAAUUAUCCACGGCGAUAUUGGAACUCAGAAUUCAAAGAGCCGGAACAAAUAUUUCAAUGCUUUUCCACCAACGUUCUAAUGAUAACGGCAGUUCACUGCUUUUAAUUUCCCUGACCUCUGAAUGAUAAAAGGUAAGUUUGGCCUUGCUGAGAUUUGAAAUCAGAAUGUAAGGUGCCAGAAAGAAUAGCACAAGAUAUUACACCUGGUGUUCUAUCGACUCCGCCAGAAUGCUGCUCAUUGCUCUCUAAGUCUCAAAAGUUGGACGCGGCACAACAAUCUAACGGACGACUCGUCAAUCUCUAAAAGGUGAUCAACGGUGCUACUUACAUCAGCGAGCCAACGGAGAAGCCUCUACGCGGUUUCUCACCCACAUAGCAGCUAAAUCUCUCUCAUACCUUACCUGCCUACCACACUAAAUAAUGUAGACUGUAGUGUUCUGUUCCUAAGGAAAAAGAUAGGGUAUUGGGGUUGGAAAUAAUUUUGAUCAAUAGUUCCCUCAAGGAAAGAAUACCUGGAAUUAAUCAAGGACAAGAUCAAAGAACUACAAUUCAGUAUAUGCUUACAACAAAAGUUACUCUAUCUUAUUGGAACCCGGGUGACUUAGCUAACAGCGAAUACAGGAAUGAAAAAAAAUCGCUACCCCUAGAGGAGCAAACGAACUGUCGAUCUCUCGACCAUUGACUGGCAAUCCGCUAAACUAUCUAUUAUUGUAUACACCUGCUCAUAUCUUUAUCUCCCAUAAUAUAUUUUUCGUUUGUGCAUUCCUAUGAAACACCCCCACUGUUUCAUCUGUGGCGAAUUUCAACAUUAAGCAGAUUUUCUAUCAUAAUACUAUAUUACGAAGGAUCUUGAUUGUGUCGAGGAAGAAGAAAAAUUGAAAACGCUCAUAACUGGUGAGGAAUCGUGAGUCUAUGGCUACGACCCCGAAACCAAGGCAAAAAUCAUAUCCCAUUUGAAAGGAAUAAGAUUUCAAGACAUCGAAGAAAUCCAAGAGAAUUCGAGGAGACAGCUGCUCGCUGUCCUCCCAAAAGAGUUCCAGAAAUACUUCUAUCAAUGAAAACGAUGUUGGAUAAAGCGUGUGAGAUAAGUUCGAAGGAAAUUAAAUUCCGGAUUAAUAUC